CAGCCGCCGCGGUAAUACGGAGGGGGCUAGCGUUGUUCGGAAUUACUGGGCGUAAAGCGCACGUAGGCGGCUUUACAAGUCAGAGGUGAAAGCAUGGUGCUCAACACCAGAAUUGCCUUUGAGACUGUAUCGCUUGAACGUCGGAGAGGUGAGUGGAAUUCCGAGUGUAGAGGUGAAAUUCGUAGAUAUCGGAAGGAACACCUGUGGCGAAAGCGGCUCACUGGACCAUUACUGACGCUGAGGCGCGAAAGCUUGGGGAGCAAACAGGAUUAGAUACCCCCGUAGUCCCUGUCUCUUAUAC
This 301-nucleotide ribosomal RNA is filed under the name uncultured bacterium. RNAcentral describes it as "partial 16S ribosomal RNA". It matches the Rfam family "Bacterial small subunit ribosomal RNA", at positions 509 to 807 of the family's 1533-position model. The record is from RNAcentral.